This 91-nucleotide transfer RNA is filed under the name Alteromonadaceae bacterium. RNAcentral's name for it is "tRNA-Ser". It matches the Rfam family "tRNA". Rfam says of the family: Transfer RNA (tRNA) molecules are approximately 80 nucleotides in length. Their secondary structure includes four short double-helical elements and three loops (D, anti-codon, and T loops). Further hydrogen bonds mediate the characteristic L-shaped molecular structure. tRNAs have two regions of fundamental functional importance: the anti-codon, which is responsible for specific mRNA codon recognition, and the 3' end, to which the tRNAs corresponding amino acid is attached (by aminoacyl-tRNA synthetases). tRNAs cope with the degeneracy of the genetic code in two manners: having more than one tRNA (with a specific anti-codon) for a particular amino acid; and 'wobble' base-pairing, i.e. permitting non-standard base-pairing at the 3rd anti-codon position. Lineage: Bacteria; Pseudomonadati; Pseudomonadota; Gammaproteobacteria; Alteromonadales; Alteromonadaceae. The record is from RNAcentral.
GGAGAGGUGGGUGAGUGGCUGAAACCAGUUCCCUGCUAAGGAACCAUACGNAUUACNCGUAUCGAGGGUUCGAAUCCCUCCCUCUCCGCCA